Non-coding RNA from Biomphalaria pfeifferi, 386 nucleotides. Lineage: Eukaryota; Metazoa; Mollusca; Gastropoda; Planorbidae. The record is from the annotation of a GenBank genome assembly.
AUGAAAUGAAAACAAAUUUUAUUUCUCUAUGAACAAGUCUGACACUGUAAUGCAAAAGUUUUAUAUACAACCUCAAGUUGAAACAAUCUCUAAAAAUACAUUAUUCACAUACCAGUAUUGGCUACAUUCACAUCUAUCAUUUAAAACAAACAAAGACUAUCUGGCAAUACAUUAAAUGUUAUAAUUAUAUAUAUUUUAGUUAUACUGCGUAAAAUAAAGGUUACAAAUUUGAUGUAAAUACUAGUGUGUGUACAACUACUUUAAAAGUAUUUGGGCCAGAGCAAUAAAAUUGAGAUAGGCUGAAAUAAGUAAAUCACAAAUACAACAGCCAAUCAGAAUGUGCAUUGUUAAUCUCAUCAUCCAAACAGAACAUUAGAAGGAGUGGA